CCUACGGGAGGCAGCAGUGAGGAAUAUUGGUCAAUGGGCGGGAGCCUGAACCAGCCAAGUCGCGUGAGGGAAGACGGUCCUAUGGAUUGUAAACCUCUUUAGUCGGGAGCAAUGCCGGGCACGCGUGCCCGGAGGGAGAGUACCCGCAGAAUAAGCAUCGGCUAACUCCGUGCCAGCAGCCGCGGUAAUACGGAGGAUGCGAGCGUUAUCCGGAUUCAUUGGGUUUAAAGGGUGCGCAGGCGGGCCUUUAAGCCGGCGGUGAAAUCGCGGGGCUCAACCCCGCCGAGCCGUCGGAACUGGGGGCCGUGAGUGCGGCGGAGGCAUGCGGAAUGCGCGGUGUAGCGGUGAAAUGCAUAGAUAUCGCGCAGAACCCCGAUUGCGAAGGCAGCAUACCGGUGCACAACUGACGCUCAGGCACGAAAGCGUGGGUAUCGAACAGGAUUAGAUACCCGGGUAGUC
This 459-nucleotide ribosomal RNA is filed under the name uncultured bacterium. RNAcentral describes it as "partial 16S ribosomal RNA". It matches the Rfam family "Bacterial small subunit ribosomal RNA", at positions 338 to 795 of the family's 1533-position model. The record is from RNAcentral.